GCCCACACUGAGCCCUCAGCUGUGCCCACAUUGAGCUCUCAGCUGUGCCCACAUUGAGCCCUCAGUUGUGCCCACAUUGAGCCCUCAGUUGUGCCCACAUUGAGCCCUCAGUUGUGCCCACAUUGAGCGCUCAGCUGUGCCCAUGCUGAGCUCUCAGCUGUGCCCACAUUGAGCUCUCAGCUGUGCCCACAUUGAGCUCUCAGCUGUGCCCACGCUGAGCCCUCAGCCUCACCCCUGCAGCUGCAGCAGCCACAGCAGCGUCCCUUGGGCGCUGCUCACCUGGAAUUUUGCUGCAGACGCUGAUGAGCUGGCUUCAAGUCCAAGAGCUCUCCUUCACAAGUGGAAGAUAAAUAUUGCAUCACACGUGUUUGGAUGAUGGCUUCCAUCGCUGGAGAAGGCUGGGAGCUUGGUCAUUGCAGCUGUGCAUCCAGAUCAGCUGUUUCUUCUUGGGAUUUCUUCAUUUGUAGAGCAGGGUUGCUGAAGACAGGCUUAUAAGUUUUGAUGUUUAUGUGAACUGAGACAUUUUCAACAAGUAUUUUAUUCGUGAAAUUCAAUUCCUAAAUUUUUUUGAAGAAUAAUAACUUUUCAGCACCUUCAUUUCUGAAACAGUAUUUGUUCUAUUUCACUCAGUUAAAAUGAACUGCUGAUGAAGACUGGUAGUUUAACCUCCUGGGUCCUGUCUUAUAUAGAACUGUAUUUGACAAAAUCUGUUAUAAUAUGUUUUGAGUCUAUCACUAUAAGUGUCUUCUAAAAGCUGAUUAUAUCUAAGGAAAACGUGAAAUAUUCUAAAAGCAGAAAAUUCCUGAUGUGCCAAGGUUUGCCUGUAGUCAAUUUUAAAUUUUGCCUUUUUAUAUCUACCUGUUAUAAAGCUUUUUAAAAAGAAUUGGUGAGCACCACUGUGUUAUUUAGCUGGAUAUGCAGCUGAAAUGCAAAUAUUCAAAUAAAGAUGACAGCAUGAUAAUUUAGACUUGCUAAUUGCAAUUUCUUUUAUUGCUAUGUUAUUAUAAUAGUUUUUACUUUAAAUACAUUUUUUAAAUAGCUAUUGUUUGUGGCUUUCUGUGUGCUGGCUGAUAAUAUAAAGUUGAGUUUAAAUAAAAUGCCUUCCGUUCUGUAAACCUUA
Molecule: non-coding RNA, 1120 nt
Organism: Taeniopygia guttata (zebra finch)
Lineage: Eukaryota; Metazoa; Chordata; Aves; Passeriformes; Estrildidae
Source: RefSeq, a predicted model, not a curated record